This is a long non-coding RNA of Mauremys mutica (yellowpond turtle), 1879 nucleotides long. RefSeq lists it as uncharacterized. The record is from RefSeq and is a predicted model, not a curated record. Lineage: Eukaryota; Metazoa; Chordata; Testudines; Geoemydidae. The transcript is spliced from 5 exons.
CUCGGUGUUGACGAAGAGAGCCCAGCAGGGGAAGCAGCAAAGCAGCAGGAUGAGGGUGCCACGCUGCAGGAUGGUCCCCACCCGCUUCAUGUUCUUACCGCCGUACGUCUGGGGAAGAGAAGUGUUGCCAAGAGAAAGAAAACCUCUGCAGGCGCAAGACACAACCAAAGGGAACAAGUAAACGAGCCGGCCAUAGGACAGUUCCCCACCUGGGACAUUAGGGUGUCGCAUGCCGAUGCUAAGCCAGAGCCGACUGAGAUGCCGGUAACAUUGAUAACCUGGAGAUGAGAGCACAAAGACACAAAGCAACCGAUCAGGGAAGGAGGAAGCUCAGGCUGCCAGGGGGAAGCUGUAAGCUUCAGGAUCAUCUUUCAGCAACUGAUUCCCUGUGGCUGUUGCUUCCCGAGUCGCAGUCUCUGCCUCCAUCACAGGAGGACACAGCCUGCUUUACCAGGGGAUGCCAAGACAGCCAGCAAAACGGGUUCCGAUCUGAAGAGUGGAGGAAGAAUCCCACCCCAGAGAGGUAAAAGCUUGUGACCUGUCACCUGGAGGGGUUGCACUCAGAGAGUGCGAGGGCUGAAAGGUGCUGCUAGCCCUGAAUUGUGACAGCAGGUUGCUAGGGUCUUGGGCAAAAAACACCUCCAGCAAUACUACAAGCAAGUCGCCUUUUAAAUGCUGGAUGCUGGUGCAGCCAUCCCCCAUAAGUCGGAGCAGGGACUAACAGCUGCCCAGUUGCAUGAAAAAAAUCAAAACCUACUUGGCAACCUACCAGCUCACCCACAUGGGAUGGAGACAACCUCUGAUUGUUACCUGCUUAUUCUCCAAAAGGUUCUCGUCACUUGCAACAGUGCUGUGACCCCCAUCACCAGUGAAGAUGUACCCUGGAGGUCAAAAUAGAUGGAUAGGGGAAAAAACUUGAAUCACAAAAUAAGGACAUCUGGAAGAAAGGGUUUCAGAGGACCUAGUAAUGGAGACACAAAGGAUGAAAAAUAGUUUGAGGGAAAACAACAAGGAAAACAGGAUGCAGCAGGAUAUGGGAGGAAAAGUAGGAAAUAGGAAGACUAAAGGAAAAGGAGGGAAAAGAACAUUGGGCUUGAUAUUCAAAAGGGUAGAAGCUUAGGGCCAAUUUCUCACCUAAGGUGCACCUGCAAUCCCUGUGAAUUGCUCAUGAUACUGAACACCUACUUGCUCUAAUAUCCAUUUGUGCAUUUUGUAUGAAAAUCAGGCUUGUAUUUGCAUACACAUUUUCUCCACAUGACUCUGGACUUCUGUCUUUUUGAAAAUCAGGUCCAGCAGGGUGUUUUUCUUUUCUUUAAGUUCCAUGGUAAAUUCUCUUAUGCAUCUGCUUUUAAUCUAUGGCAUCAUGGUGAUUUAGCCACUGCUACCUAAAAAAAACCCAAAUCCAAAAACAAACAACCUGAACAUUUCCCUGGUUUUUGGAUAUCUUAAUUUCAUCUCCAGUCCGGCCCCCUUUUGAGGCCAUUGAUCCCCCUCAAUUUCAUUUGGAUAAACUGACAGGCAUAAAUCUUUGUUUUACUUUCUCCAGAUCCUAAUCUCCCAAUCGGGGUUGCUUGGCUCUGGGAUUUUGGUUUGGAUCCUUCUGUAAUAGUAAGAUACUCAUACGGUCAUUUACAAAUAUUUACAUAUUGAUAAGAUCUAUGUUUAAUGUCUUCAUAUUACCUUCCUACUGACCUCUCCCCCUACUCAGCCACCAACAGAUCCCCUUUGCCCCUCUCUACUUAUUUCUCUGUGGCUACUCCUUCCUGUCCUAGCUCUCCACAACCCCACCUUCCCUUUUCUGGCAGCUUGUGUCUUCACAAAUGGUAUAGCCAGGCCUGAGCCGAAGUCCAUGCAGUCUCUAGGCACAAGUGGGAGAGUU